This is a non-coding RNA of Pogona vitticeps (central bearded dragon), 320 nucleotides long. Lineage: Eukaryota; Metazoa; Chordata; Lepidosauria; Squamata; Agamidae. The record is from RefSeq and is a predicted model, not a curated record.
ACCUGCGCAAACAUCAGUCCCGUUCAUGGGAGGCAACAUGCAGCUUUAAUGAGAAACUGGCGAACAUGGGUAGUUUUAAAAUGAAAUGUUAAAAAUGCUCAACUCCAAAGUGAUGGUGAUCAUUCUUGGCCUAAGAUACUUUAAGGAGUGACUACAGCGACACGAAACUACCAACCACUAAGUUGAUAGUUGAAGAUGUUUCUUGUGUAUUGUCUUCUCCACCUUCAGAAGUGAAACUGAGGAAACCACUUGCAGAGGAAAGGGCCCUCUGCCUCCUCGACCACGUCUGCUUCCAGCCCAGUGGCCUACCACAGUGCCAG